Molecule: transfer RNA, 37 nt
Filed under: Bigelowiella natans
Lineage: Eukaryota; Cercozoa; Chlorarachniophyceae
Description: partial Selenocysteine transfer RNA
Source: RNAcentral
GUCCUUGGCGGACUUCAAAUCCAGCGCGACCAUGCCG